This is a non-coding RNA of Pteropus alecto (black flying fox), 113 nucleotides long. The record is from Rfam. NCBI's taxonomy places the organism in Eukaryota, Metazoa, Chordata, Mammalia, Chiroptera, Pteropodidae.
GUCAAGAGGGAACAGAGAAGCAGGCUGCCCGUCUAAUCUCAGAAGCUAAGCAGGGUCGGGCCUGGUUAGUACUUGGAUGGGAGACCACCUAGGAAGACCAGGUACUAUAGACU